Molecule: ribosomal RNA, 292 nt
Filed under: uncultured bacterium
Lineage: Bacteria
Description: partial 16S ribosomal RNA
Rfam family: Bacterial small subunit ribosomal RNA
Source: RNAcentral
GUGUCAGCCGCCGCGGUAAUACGGAGGGUGCAAGCGUUAAUCGGAAUUACUGGGCGUAAAGCGCACGCAGGCGGUUUGUUAAGUCAGAUGUGAAAUCCCCGCGCUUAACGUGGGAACUGCAUUUGAAACUGGCAAGCUAGAGUCUUGUAGAGGGGGGUAGAAUUCCAGGUGUAGCGGUGAAAUGCGUAGAGAUCUGGAGGAAUACCGGUGGCGAAGGCGGCCCCCUGGACAAAGACUGACGCUCAGGUGCGAAAGCGUGGGGAGCAAACAGGAUUAGAUACCCUUGUAGUCC